GAUCGCGGUGCCGUCCUGCUGAGGUUGGGGCUCACAAACGCCCCAAUACGCGCCCCUCCCUGAGCCCGCUGGCUGCGCGCCGCGAGUGAGUGCCGCCCGGUCAGUGCGUCCUGAGCGCGAAGCUCUCGCCGACGACGCGCAGCCUCGGGUCCCGGCGCCUGGAGUGGAGCGAGGGAACCGCACAGGCGGGCGGGCGCGCGGGCCGGGAGGGGCCGGCGGCCUCAGGGCCCCACAGGCCGGGGACCCGCGCCCCCUAGUGGCCGUGGACAGGCCCCGCCCGUGCAGGCCGCAGCCUGGAGAUGGACCAAGUACGUUCGCCUGGGGCAACGCGGGGUCCCGCAGCCGGAAAUCCGAGUCUGACUUAGGGUUCCCCCAAACGUCACUGUGGACAGGGACCUGCUGACCCUGCUGACCGGAAGCCUCGCCCGCGACGUGCAUGGUGCACAGUAGCCCCCGUUGCAGGGCCUGUGGGCUCUGCUCCGUGCGCCGCCCCGAGGGAGCCAGGGGACGGCAAGUGUCACCAGGAAAUCGCGGGGGAGAGGAGAUACGUCAUCGAUUGAAUGCGACCAUAAUGCCUCCAUCAGCGUCACCCCCACUGUCGCCUUCAGGGGAUGUGCUAGGGAAUCGGCCAUAAGGAGGUUCAGGAAUCCUCCUUCCCAGCCAGACACCCCCUCCCCCGCCCCCAACACCCAGGAAAAACCCCGGCGCCCUGGCCGGUGUGGCUCAGUGGAUAGAGCGUCCGUCGGAGGAGACUGAAGGGUCCCGGGUUCGAUUCCGCUCCACGACAUGUAGCUCGGUUGCAGGCUCCUCCCCGGCCCGGUGCCCUGGUCGGGGCCUCUUCUCUGUCCCCCUCUCUCGUCCACUCUCCCUAAAUAUCAAUGGAAAAAUACCCUCAGGUGAGGAUAAAAAAAUAAAAAUGAAAAAGUAGUAUCUUUAAAAAAACACACAAAAAGGAAA
Molecule: long non-coding RNA, 957 nt
Organism: Myotis daubentonii (Daubenton's bat)
Lineage: Eukaryota; Metazoa; Chordata; Mammalia; Chiroptera; Vespertilionidae
Source: RefSeq, a predicted model, not a curated record